This 324-nucleotide ribosomal RNA is filed under the name uncultured bacterium. Its description in RNAcentral is "bacterial SSU rRNA". It matches the Rfam family "Bacterial small subunit ribosomal RNA", at positions 28 to 334 of the family's 1533-position model. The record is from RNAcentral.
GAUGAACGCUGGCGGCGUGCUUAACACAUGCAAGUCGAGCGAAGCACUUUUGCGGAUUUCUUCGGAUUGAAGCAACUGUGACUGAGCGGCGGACGGGUGAGUAACGCGUGGGUAACCUGCCUCAUACAGGGGGAUAACAGUUGGAAACGGCUGCUAAUACCGCAUAAGCGCACAGUACCGCAUGGUCUGGUGUGAAAAACUGAGGUGGUAUGAGAUGGGCCCGCGUCUGAUUAGGUAGUUGGCGGGGUAACGGCCCACCAAGCCGACGAUCAGUAGCCGACCUGAGAGGGUGACCGGCCACAUUGGGACUGAGACACGGCCCAG